RNAcentral lists this ribosomal RNA (407 nucleotides) under uncultured Streptomyces sp. RNAcentral describes it as "bacterial SSU rRNA". It matches the Rfam family "Bacterial small subunit ribosomal RNA", at positions 353 to 772 of the family's 1533-position model. Lineage: Bacteria; Bacillati; Actinomycetota; Actinomycetes; Kitasatosporales; Streptomycetaceae. The record is from RNAcentral.
AGUGGGGAAUAUUGCACAAUGGGCGAAAGCCUGAUGCAGCGACGCCGCGUGAGGGAUGACGGCCUUCGGGUUGUAAACCUCUUUCAGCAGGGAAGAAGCGAAAGUGACGGUACCUGCAGAAGAAGCGCCGGCUAACUACGUGCCAGCAGCCGCGGUAAUACGUAGGGCGCAAGCGUUGUCCGGAAUUAUUGGGCGUAAAGAGCUCGUAGGCGGCUUGUCACGUCGGAUGUGAAAGCCCGGGGCUUAACCCCGGGUCUGCAUUCGAUACGGGCUAGCUAGAGUGUGGUAGGGGAGAUCGGAAUUCCUGGUGUAGCGGUGAAAUGCGCAGAUAUCAGGAGGAACACCGGUGGCGAAGGCGGAUCUCUGGGCCAUUACUGACGCUGAGGAGCGAAAGCGUGGGGAGCGAA